UGCCAGACUCCUACGGGAGGCAGCAGUGGGGGAUAUUGCACAAUGGGGGGAACCCUGAUGCAGCGACGCCGCGUGGGUGAAGAAGCGCCUCGGCGCGUAAAGCCCUGUCAGCAGGGAAGAAAAUGACGGUACCUGAAGAAGAAGCCCCGGCUAACUACGUGCCAGCAGCCGCGGUAAUACGUAGGGGGCAAGCGUUAUCCGGAUUUACUGGGUGUAAAGGGGGCGCAGACGGCGAUGCAAGCCAGGAGUGAAAGCCCACGGCCCAACCGUGGGACUGCUCUGGAAACUGUGCGGCUUGGGUGCGGGAGGGGCAGGCGGAAUUCCUAGUGUAGCGGUGAAAUGCGUAGAUAUUAGGAGGAGCACCAGUGGCGAAGGCGGCUUACUGGACUGUAACUGACGUUGAGGCUCGAAAGCGUGGGGAGCAAACAGGAUUAGAUACCCGAGUA
RNAcentral lists this ribosomal RNA (446 nucleotides) under uncultured bacterium. RNAcentral's name for it is "partial 16S ribosomal RNA". It matches the Rfam family "Bacterial small subunit ribosomal RNA", at positions 329 to 792 of the family's 1533-position model. The record is from RNAcentral.